UGGGGAAUAUUGCACAAUGGGGGGAACCCUGAUGCAGCGAUGCCGCGUGGAGGAAGAAGGUUUUCGGAUUGUAAACUCCUGUCGUAAGGGACGAAAGAAAUGACGGUACCUUACAAGAAAGCUCCGGCUAACUACGUGCCAGCAGCCGCGGUAAUACGUAGGGAGCGAGCGUUGUCCGGAAUUACUGGGUGUAAAGGGAGCGUAGGCGGGGCGGCAAGUCAGAUGUGAAAUAUACGUGCUCAACAUGUAGACUGCAUUUGAAACUGUCGUUCUUGAGUGAGGUAGAGGUAAGCGGAAUUCCUGGUGUAGCGGUGAAAUGCGUAGAGAUCAGGAGGAACAUCGGUGGCGAAGGCGGCUUACUGGGCCUUUACUGACGCUGAGGCUCGAAAGCGUGGGGAGCAAACAGGAUUAGAUACCC
Molecule: ribosomal RNA, 418 nt
Filed under: uncultured bacterium
Lineage: Bacteria
Description: bacterial SSU rRNA
Rfam family: Bacterial small subunit ribosomal RNA
Source: RNAcentral